UUAGGGGGCGCUGUAAGAAACUCUGAAAGAAAUACGACCCAGCUCACAGUAGAAGAAGACUUCCCCCACGACUUUGGCGUUUAGCAGUUUCAGCUGUCCUGACCUUCUCACUGCAGCGAGACACACUGAAAGAUGGCUGGACGUGCAUUUGCAAAUUGGUGGGCCUUGAUGGGACCCUACUACACAAAGGCCUACCAGGAGAUGUGGGCGGGUGUUGGCAUCAUGACAUACCUGUACUACAAAGUUUCCUAUGGAGGCAAGAAGGCCGUAAAGGACAAGCCUGCCCAUUAAAUUUUCCACCAUCCUGACCAUCUCCCCACCUGUUGUGUAAUAAUGCCCAGACUUACGCCAGAAGUCCAGCUUCACGUUUAAAUUUUUGUUUAUAUGGAACAAAUAAAGUUAAUAUCCAAGACUUUUA
This is a long non-coding RNA of Notolabrus celidotus (New Zealand spotty), 418 nucleotides long. RefSeq lists it as uncharacterized. NCBI's taxonomy places the organism in Eukaryota, Metazoa, Chordata, Actinopteri, Labriformes, Labridae. The transcript is spliced from 4 exons. The record is from RefSeq and is a predicted model, not a curated record.